Molecule: non-coding RNA, 72 nt
Organism: Podarcis lilfordi (Lilford's wall lizard)
Lineage: Eukaryota; Metazoa; Chordata; Lepidosauria; Squamata; Lacertidae
Source: the annotation of a GenBank genome assembly
GGGCCAUAGCACAGUGGCAGAGUGUUUGCCUUGCAAAGCAGAAGGUCUCAGGUUCAAUCCCCAGCAUCUCCA